UUCGGUUUGGGUGGCGGACGGGUGAGUAACGCGUAAAGAACUUGCCUCACAGUUAGGGACAACAUUUGGAAACGAAUGCUAAUACCUGAUAUUAUGAUUUUAGGGCAUCCUAAGAUUAUGAAAGCUAUAAGCGCUGUGAGAGAGCUUUGCGUCCCAUUAGCUAGUUGGAGAGGUAACGGCUCACCAAGGCGAUGAUGGGUAGCCGGCCUGAGAGGGUGAACGGCCACAAGGGGACUGAGACACGGCCCUUACUCCUACGGGAGGCAGCAGUGGGGAAUAUUGGACAGUGGACCAAAAGUCUGAUCCAGCAAUUCUGUGUGCACGAUGACGUUUUUCGGAAUGUAAAGUGCUUUCAGUUGGGAAGAAAAAAAUGACGGUACCAACAGAAGAAGUGACGGCUAAAUACGUGCCAGCAGCCGCGGUAAUACGUAUGUCACAAGCGUUAUCCGGAUCUAUUGGGCGUAAAGCGCGUCUAGGUGGUUAUGUAAGUCUGAUGUGAAAAUGCAGGGCUCAACUCUGUAUUGCGUUGGAAACUGCAUGACUAGAGUACUGGAGAGGUAAGCGGAACUACAAGUGUAGAGGUGAAAUUUGUAGAUAUUUGUAGGAAUGCCGAUGGGGAAGCCAGCUUACUGGACAGAUACUGACGCUAAAGCGCGAAAGCGUGGGUAGCAAACAGGAUUAGAUANCCUGGUAGUCCACGCCGUAAACGAUGAUACUAGGUGUUGGGGGUCGAACCUCAGCACCCAAGCUAACGCGAUAAGUAAUC
RNAcentral lists this ribosomal RNA (766 nucleotides) under uncultured Fusobacterium sp. RNAcentral describes it as "bacterial SSU rRNA". It matches the Rfam family "Bacterial small subunit ribosomal RNA", at positions 85 to 869 of the family's 1533-position model. Lineage: Bacteria; Fusobacteriati; Fusobacteriota; Fusobacteriia; Fusobacteriales; Fusobacteriaceae. The record is from RNAcentral.